GCUGUCCUGGGCUGGGCCGGGCGGCUGUAUGGCGGCCUGCGAGCGGCUGGGCGGCGGCGCCCUGCGGGAGCUGCUGGCCCGCACCCAGGGCGUGCUGUUCGACUGCGACGGGGUGCUUUGGAACGGCGAGCGCGCCGUGCCGGGCGCGCCCGAGCUGCUGGAGCGGCUGGGCCGCGGCGGCAAGGCGGCGCUCUUCGUGAGCAACAACAGCAGGCGCUCGGUGGCGGAGCUGGCCGGUCGCUUCGCGCGCCUCGGCUUCCGCGGCGUGGCGGCCGAGCAGCUGUUUAGCUCGGCGCUGUGCGCGGCGCGCCUGCUGCGCCAGCGCCUGCCGCAGCCCUGCCCGCCGGGUGCCGUCUUCGUGCUGGGCGGCGACGGGCUGCGGGGCGAGCUGCGGGCGGCGGGGCUACGCCUGGCCGGCGACGAGCCGGGGCCUGUGCGCGCAGUGCUCGUGGGCUACGACGAGCAUUUCACCUUCGCCAAACUGAGCGAGGCCUGCGCCCACCUGCGCGACCCCGACUGCCUCCUGGUGGCCACCGACGUGGACCCAUGGCACCCACUCACCGACGGCCGCACCACCCCCGGGACUGGGAGCCUGACAGCAGCAGUGGAGACGGCAUCAGGACGCCAGGCCGUAGUGGUGGGCAAACCCAGCACCUACAUGUUUGAGUGUAUCACAGAGCACUUUGGUGUGGACCCAGCUCACACCCUAAUGGUGGGUGACCGCCUGGAGACGGACAUCCUCUUUGGUCACCGCUGUGGCCUGACCACCGUGCUCACCCUCACUGGAGUCUCCAGGCUGGAUCAGGCCCAGGCCUACUUGUCUGCAGGCCAGCUUGACCUGGUGCCUCACUACUACGUGGACAGUAUUGCAGACUUGAUAGCAGGUCUGGAGGACUGAGGCAGCCUGAUCAGAUGCAGGCAGCCAAGAGGACAGGCUGUCAUCUUAUUCUCAUUUCUUCUCUCCUGGUCUCUUACACUGUAGUCAUGAGAGGACCUCUUCCCCAGUCUCCAUUUCCUGGUCCAGUUUGGAUAUUUCCCUCUCCCCAACCCCAGCACACACACACACACACACACACACACACACACACACACACACAUACACACACACAUGCAAACACACACACAAACACUCUGAUUCUCCAUCUUCUGGGAUCAGCAGGUCAGGACCUGCCUCUCAGCUCCCCAAGGGACCUACUUGUCUCUUCUCCCUUUAGCUUGGGCUAGGUGUCCUCUCCCCUCAUUACCUCCUGCAUCCCUCUCCUAGGUGCCAUUUCCCUAAUGGCAGCAUCCCCUCCCCCCUCUGAUCAGCCCCCAUUUCCUCCUCCUUUCAGCUCUGACUUGGUUGAUGCUGCCUUAACUUUUUUCUCCCGACUUUCUCUUUUCUAGACCCAGGAGCUAUGACUCUGGGGGCACAGGGUGCCUCACUUUCCUUCUCCAUAAAAAUGAGGGUGUUAGACUAAAUGACCUCUGAGCCCCCUUCCAGCUCUGAAUCUAUGAUCUUAAGGGGCCCUUUCUUGGAACACUCUGUGCCAUUAAUUCCCCAAACCCCUUGUUCUGCCUGGUUCAGAGGCUUUCCUUCUCCCAUACACACUUACCCUCCACUGGGUCGAGCUUAGGCUCUUGUAUCAAACUGAGCCGAUCAGCCUGGUUCAAAGUUCUGGAGCAUCAAGUGUGAGUCAUUGAGUCCUGUCUCCUAAGUGACCAAUCAGAAGCCUGGAAUCCAUUGAAGUUCCAGGGGUCAGAAUGAAGAGCAUUUGGGGCAGAGGGUGGCAUUGGAGGACCAUUGGAUCAAACAUAGUCUCGGAGCUGGAAGGAACCAUUUGACUCAAUCAUUUCACAAUUAAGAAGUUGAAUUAUUUGUCCAAGAUUACAGAAGACUCAAGUUGAGGAGACAGUAAUUGUUACUUGAUUUUGCUUUAAGAUUGGGUUCCCCUAUCUCACCCAGGC
This is an RNA transcript of Trichosurus vulpecula (common brushtail), 1947 nucleotides long. It is a transcript of the gene named pyridoxal phosphatase, with no coding region annotated. The transcript is spliced from 3 exons. Lineage: Eukaryota; Metazoa; Chordata; Mammalia; Diprotodontia; Phalangeridae. The record is from RefSeq and is a predicted model, not a curated record.